This is a long non-coding RNA of Ipomoea triloba (trilobed morning glory), 901 nucleotides long. RefSeq lists it as uncharacterized. The record is from RefSeq and is a predicted model, not a curated record. The transcript has 2 exons. NCBI's taxonomy places the organism in Eukaryota, Viridiplantae, Streptophyta, Magnoliopsida, Solanales, Convolvulaceae.
CAAUUAAUAAUGACGCCCAACACGCUUGUCACACGUUGUUUCUUAACAACGUUUUCCACUCGGAUUAGACUUCCUAUCAAACUAUUGUUCUUUGUUCGAUCUACUUUUAUCCUACUAUACCAACCAUUAGGCAUCAAAUUAAACUAUCAAUUCAUUUUCUCCGUUUACCUUUUCUUCUGCUCCGGCAUCUCCAAAAGCUGCAACCAAGAAGAGUAACAAAAAAGCUUCCUUUUUUUUUUUUUUUAAGGUUGAGAAAAAGUAUGGGUCGUCACCACCACCACCACCACCACCCUCACCCGCACCACCACCAUCACCACCACGAAGGCGGCCGUCCGUACGAUGAUCCAAUCCUCGCAUGUUGUUGCUGCCCAUGUUUCCUAGUAUCCUCAGUGUUCUCUGUGUUCAGGAGAUGUCUGUUUGUUGCCUGUUAUCCUGUGCUGCAAUGCUUUGGGUGGGAUGAACAUAGGCACCACCACCACCAUAGGCAUUUCUAAUAGCUUUUAGCUUCGCCCACUUAAAGCCCGCCAGGUCACGGUAAUAUAUCCUUCCAUUAUUCUGUUCAUCCACUUAAAGUCUGCCGCUCACCGUAAUUUAUUCCUCAAUUAUUCUGUUACACGAUGGUCCUGACUCCUGAAUGGAAAGAAUUUCGUCUUGGUGGACAAACGUAGCUUUUAGGGUUUAGCUUCAUCUUCCAUUUUUUUUAGUUUCUAAACUUGUGAUUCAUUUCAACCAAGACAAUCUUGAGUGUUGAAUGAAAACAAAAAAUUGAAACAUGUAGUCUAUAUUUUCUGGUGUAUUUGAAUGAUGAAUGAUGAUUUGAUUGUUGUAAUCUAUGGUGAAUUUUUAGUAAUUUUGCUAAUUUUGAGGUCAAAGGGAAGAUGACGACCACUUCUUGGUGCCA